Molecule: ribosomal RNA, 229 nt
Filed under: uncultured bacterium
Lineage: Bacteria
Description: partial 16S ribosomal RNA
Rfam family: Bacterial small subunit ribosomal RNA
Source: RNAcentral
UCCGUAGGCGGGCAAUUAAGUCAGAGGUGAAAUCCCACAGCUCAACUGUGGAACUGCCUUUGAUACUGGUUGUCUUGAGUUAUAGUGAAGCAGAUAGAAUAUGUAGUGUAGCGGUGAAAUGCAUAGAUAUUACAUAGAAUACCGAUUGCGAAGGCAGUCUACUAACUGUAUACUGACGCUAAUGGACGAAAGCGUGGGGAGCGAACAGGAUUAGAUACCCUGGUAGUCC